Molecule: transfer RNA, 64 nt
Filed under: Taeniogonalos tricolor
Lineage: Eukaryota; Metazoa; Arthropoda; Insecta; Hymenoptera; Trigonalidae
Description: tRNA-Leu
Source: RNAcentral
UCUAAUGUGGCAGAUUAAGUGUAAUAGAUUUAAACUCUAUAAAUAAAAUAUAUUUUCUUUAGAA